RNAcentral lists this ribosomal RNA (532 nucleotides) under Histoplasma capsulatum. RNAcentral describes it as "eukaryotic LSU rRNA". It matches the Rfam family "Eukaryotic large subunit ribosomal RNA", at positions 58 to 591 of the family's 3401-position model. The record is from RNAcentral. Lineage: Eukaryota; Fungi; Ascomycota; Eurotiomycetes; Onygenales; Ajellomycetaceae.
AAAGAAACCAACAGGGAUUGCCUCAGUAACGGCGAGUGAAGCGGCAAGAGCUCAAAAAUGAAAUCCGGCCCCCCUGGGGGCCUGAGUUGUAAUUUGCAGAGGAUGCUUCGGGCGCGACCGCGGUCCAAGUCCCCUGGAACGGGGCGUCGUAGAGGGUGAGAAUCCCGUCUCCGGCCGGCCGGUCUCGCCCGUGUGAAGCUCCUUCGACGAGUCGAGUUGUUUGGGAAUGCAGCUCCAAAUGGGUGGUAAAUUUCAUCUAAAGCUAAAUACUGGUCGGAGACCGAUAGCGCACAAGUAGAGUGAUCGAAAGAUGAAAAGCACUUUGAAAAGAGAGUUAAACAGCAUGUGAAAUUGUUGAAAGGGAAGCGCUUGCGACCAGAGUCGGCCGCGGGGGUUCAGCGGGCAUUCGUUGCCCGUGCAAUCCCCCGCGGCCGGGCCAGCGUCGGUUUCGACGGCCGGUCAAAGGCCCCCGGAAUGUGUCGCCUCUCGGGGCGUCUUAUAGCCGGGGGUGCAAUGCGGCCAGUCGGGACCG